UACGAAGGGUGCAAGCGUUACUCGGAAUUACUGGGCGUAAAGCGUGCGUAGGUGGUUUUUUAAGUCCGUUGUGAAAGCCCUGGGCUCAACCUGGGAAUGGCAGUGGAUACUGGAAAGCUAGAGUGCGGUAGAGGGUAGUGGAAUUCCCGGUGUAGCAGUGAAAUGCGUAGAGAUCGGGAGGAACACCAGUGGCGAAGGCGGCUACCUGGACCAGCACUGACACUCAUACACGAAAGCGUGGGGAUCAAACAGG
Molecule: ribosomal RNA, 253 nt
Filed under: uncultured bacterium
Lineage: Bacteria
Description: partial 16S ribosomal RNA
Rfam family: Bacterial small subunit ribosomal RNA
Source: RNAcentral